Molecule: ribosomal RNA, 477 nt
Filed under: uncultured bacterium
Lineage: Bacteria
Description: partial 16S ribosomal RNA
Rfam family: Bacterial small subunit ribosomal RNA
Source: RNAcentral
GAUGAACGUUGGCGGCGUGGAUUAGGCAUGCAAGUCGCGCGUGUACCCGCAAGGGGAAAGCGGCGUAAGGGACAGUAAUGUGUAGAUACGUGCCCUGGGGUCGAGAAUAGCCACGGGAAACUGUGGGUAAUGCCCGAUAACAUCUCCGGAUCAAAGGUGUGAUUCCGCCCUUGGAUCGGUCUGCAUCCUAUUAGCUUGUUGGCGAGGUAAUGGCUCACCAAGGCAAUGAUGGGUAGGGGGUGUGAGAGCACGACCCCCGUCACUGGGACUGAGACACUGCCCAGACACCUACGGGUGGCUGCAGUCGAGGAUCUUCGGCAAUGGGCGCAAGCCUGACCGAGCGACGCCGCGUGCGGGAUGAAGGCCUUCGGGUUGUAAACCGCUGUCAGUGGGGAGGAAAUGCCGGUGGGUACUCUCAUCGGUUUGACCUACCCGCAGAGGAAGCAAGGGCUAAGUUCGUGCCAGCAGCCGCCGUAA